This 133-nucleotide microRNA precursor is filed under the name Aedes aegypti (yellow fever mosquito). RNAcentral describes it as "partial AAEL017871-RA". The record is from RNAcentral. Lineage: Eukaryota; Metazoa; Arthropoda; Insecta; Diptera; Culicidae.
CAGAGCAGAAGCAGAGCAGAAGCAGAGCAGAAGCAGAGCAGAAGCAGAGCAGAAGCAGAGCAGAAGCAGAGCAGAAGCAGAGCAGAAGCAGAGCAGAGGCAGAGCAGAGGCAGAGCAGAAGCAGAGCAGAAGC